UACAGAGGUCCCGAGCGUUGUUCGGAUUCACUGGGCGUAAAGGGUGCGUAGGUGGCCUGAAAAGUUUGAUGUGAAAGCUCAGGGCUUAACCCUGAAAUGGCAUUGAAUACUGUCGGGCUGGAGGUUUGGAGGGGGGACUGGAAUUCUUGGUGUAGCAGUGAAAUGCGUAGAUAUCAAGAGGAACACCAGUGGCGAAGGCGAGUUCCUGGACAACACCUGACACUGAGGCACGAAAGCUAGGGGAGCAAACAGG
This 253-nucleotide ribosomal RNA is filed under the name uncultured bacterium. RNAcentral's name for it is "partial 16S ribosomal RNA". It matches the Rfam family "Bacterial small subunit ribosomal RNA", at positions 524 to 776 of the family's 1533-position model. The record is from RNAcentral.